AUACGGAGGGUGCAAGCGUUAUCCGGAUUCAUUGGGUUUAAAGGGUGCGCAGGCGGACUUGUAAGUCAGUGGUGAAAUCCCGGGGCUCAACCUCGGAACCGCCAUUGAUACUGCAAGUCUUGAGUUUGGUUGAAGUGGGCGGAAUGUAGCAUGUAGCGGUGAAAUGCAUAGAUAUGCUACAGAACACCGAUCGCGAAGGCAGCUCACUAAACCAACACUGACGCUCAGGCACGAAAGCGUGGGGAGCGAACAGGAUUAGAAACCCCAGUAGUCC
Molecule: ribosomal RNA, 274 nt
Filed under: uncultured bacterium
Lineage: Bacteria
Description: partial 16S ribosomal RNA
Rfam family: Bacterial small subunit ribosomal RNA
Source: RNAcentral